RNAcentral lists this transfer RNA (75 nucleotides) under bacterium. RNAcentral's name for it is "tRNA-Glu". It matches the Rfam family "tRNA". From Rfam's summary of the family: Transfer RNA (tRNA) molecules are approximately 80 nucleotides in length. Their secondary structure includes four short double-helical elements and three loops (D, anti-codon, and T loops). RNAcentral also lists the same sequence under 2 other names. The record is from RNAcentral.
GGCCCCGUCGUCUAGCGGUCAGGAUCCAUGGUUUUCAUCCAUGUCACAGGAGUUCGAUUCUCCUCGGGGUCACCA